Molecule: ribosomal RNA, 378 nt
Filed under: uncultured eukaryote
Lineage: Eukaryota
Description: partial 18S ribosomal RNA
Rfam family: Eukaryotic small subunit ribosomal RNA
Source: RNAcentral
CAAUAGCGUAUAUUUAAGUUGUUGCAGUUAAAAAGCUCGUAGUUGGAUUUCGGAUGGGACUUGCCGGUCCGUCGUUUCGAUGUGCACUGGCCAGUCCUAUCUUGUUGUCGGGGACUAGCUCCUGGGCUUCACUGUCCGGGACUAGGAGCUGACGAGGUUACUUUGAGUAAAUUAGAGUGUUCAAAGCAAGCCUACGCUCUGAAUACAUUAGCAUGGAAUAACACGAUAGGACUCUGGCUUAUCUUGUUGGUCUGUGAGACCAGAGUAAUGAUUAAGAGGGACAGUCGGGGGCAUUCGUAUUUCAUUGUCAGAGGUGAAAUUCUUGGAUUUACGGAAGACGAACAUCUGCGAAAGCAUUUGCCAAGGGUGUUUNCAUUG